GCCAGUGUGGUGUAGUGGUUUGAACAUUGGACUAUGAUUCUGGAGACCAGAGUUCAAAUCACAGCUUGGCCA
This is a non-coding RNA of Phrynosoma platyrhinos (Desert horned lizard), 72 nucleotides long. The record is from the annotation of a GenBank genome assembly. NCBI's taxonomy places the organism in Eukaryota, Metazoa, Chordata, Lepidosauria, Squamata, Phrynosomatidae.